Molecule: ribosomal RNA, 425 nt
Filed under: uncultured bacterium
Lineage: Bacteria
Description: bacterial SSU rRNA
Rfam family: Bacterial small subunit ribosomal RNA
Source: RNAcentral
GAAUUUUGGACAAUGGGCGCAAGCCUGAUCCAGCCAUGCCGCGUGCGGGAAGAAGGCCUUCGGGUUGUAAACCGCUUUUAGCCGGAAAGAAAAGGGCAGGGUGAAUACCCCUGUCUCUUGACGGUACCGGCGGAAUAAGCACCGGCUAACUACGUGCCAGCAGCCGCGGUAAUACGUAGGGUGCGAGCGUUAAUCGGAAUUACUGGGCGUAAAGCGUGCGCAGGCGGUCCGUUGUGUCUCGUGUGAAAGCCCCGGGCUCAACCUGGGAAUGGCAUGGGAAACUGGCGGGCUGGAGUGUGGCAGAGGGGGGUGGAAUUCCGCGUGUAGCAGUGAAAUGCGUAGAGAUGCGGAGGAACACCGAUGGCGAAGGCAGCCCCCUGGGCCAACACUGACGCUCAGGCACGAAAGCGUGGGGAGCAAACAGG